This 513-nucleotide long non-coding RNA is filed under the name Drosophila guanche. The record is from RNAcentral. Lineage: Eukaryota; Metazoa; Arthropoda; Insecta; Diptera; Drosophilidae.
AUUCCCAUUCGGCAGCUCUUAGAGUAAACACCUAAAAUUGUUUCGUCUAGUCUCAAUAGUUUUUGUAAAGUCUCAAAUUUUUCGGUUCGGUUCGGUUAAUGGUAAAAAAUUUUUUAAAUUCAAAUAACAAAAUAUUUAAAAUAAUAAAACAUUUUUGGUUUGCAUUUGUUGUAGAAACGUAACGGCCUAAACAUGUGCGGACCUUGCUGUGGACCCUGUGGUGGCUGCUGCGGACCCUGCGGCGGCUGCUGUGGACCUUGCGGACCCUGUGGCCCAUGCUGUGGUCCCUGUGGACCCUGCUGCGGUCCUUGUGGACCGUGCGGCCCAUGUUGUGGACCCUGUGGACCCUGCUGCGGACCUUGCGGACCUUGUGGACCUUGCGGACCUUGCUGAUGCCAUCGAAGGAUCUACACCUGCUGGCCGUAAACCACGAACUUUAAUUUGAGACGGAAAUAAACGGGGCUUAAAGUUUACAAAUUUUUAAGCUUUAUGACCAUCAAAAGCCCAACCAAA